GGGCCGAGGCGCGCGAGCCCCGGCCGGUCCCGCCCGCCCCGCCCGGAACGGGAGGGGGCUGGGGCCGCGGGGGCGGGGCGCGUGACGUCACGCCCAGCCGCGCCCCCGCCGGUGCCCAGGCUGGUGCGGAGCCGCGAGGCCCACGGGCGGGACCGGAUCCGGGACCAGCCGUGGUCCCCGCACCCCACGCUCCCCAUGCCGGCGGCCCCGGUCGGAAACGUCCACGCCCGGAAACAUGUCAACGCCCCGAAACAUGUCACCGCGGACGGCCAAGAGCGGGACCUGGCCCUUCAUCUCUGCUUCACCCGCUGGGGAGCAGCUCCUCCUGCAAGCGCUUUGUGGAAUGAACCGCAGUGUCACUCAGGACUAGAGCUGAAAGGAAAACGUUCCCUUCCUGGCAUCAGGAGACACCUAAGGCCGCCCAGCAAAUGCUCUGCUCCCUCAGGCUUUCUCAGGUCCACACGCUUCUGCAGUUAAUACCUUCCAAACCCCCAGAUGUUUGCCUUCUCGUUAAGUGAAGGUGCCCUGCGGGGAACACAUGGGUGUGCGCGCGUGUGUUGAAUCCUAUCACGAAUGCCGCAGUUUAUCCACAGAGCCCCUGUGGUGGGAGUAUCUCCUCCCCAUUCUCUCCCAGAACAGACAAGAUGGAGGGGCUCCCCCGGAGCCUGGGUUGGGGAAGGGGGUGGAAGGCAGGGCCCAGUCCCUCACAGAAAUGACUCAAAUGUCCAGGCUGCCCAGGAGAUGGGCAGAGCUGUUCUUCCUGGUGCACCCUGAGGGAGGCACGGUUUAGUGAGAAAGUGAGGUAUUCAGCAUCUCCCCACAAUUUGCUGGCAUUUCAUUCAACUUCUAAGCUUCAACCGCCUUGAGAAAACCAAACAAGAAAAGGGGCAAACCCGAGCCCCCACCUCAUGCUGUAGGUGUGGGUGCAAGGGAUGGCUGUGAUCAAGCCCUCCACCCCCACCCCUAAGUCGUUAAGGGAUGGGUUUAUUGAGCUCCUGCUCUGUGUUGUCGUAGGAGUAAUUCCUGUAAUAGCCACUUCCAAUGUGCUACGAGUUGUACGUGCAUGCACCUUUCCUUUGUCACAGCAACCUUAGGACAUAGCUGCCAUCACCAUCCUCACCUGCAGAUGAGGGCACAGAGAGGCUGAGCUACUUGCCCAGGCUCACGUAGCUAGUCAGGAUUGACCCAGGUAUGGAGAUCAGAUAAAGGAUGAUAAAGACAGUGACCAACCACCCUGUGCUUGAGCUCCAGGAACAGAGAGGGAACACCUAACCCAGCAGGUGCUGGGGUACAUGUCCUGGCUUCAGGAGGUCUUUAGGAAUCAGUUUGAAAGCAGUGACAUGGAGCCCCCAAGACACUGUAAGAAGAAAAGCUCCUUGGGGCAGAAAUCAGGAGUUCCUGGUUGACAGCAGAGCUGGCUCAGGGCCAGCACGGGGUCAGGGCUCAACAAUGACUGAUGGUCACACUGAUGGUCACACUCACCUAUUCCCUGGUGCUUCAAAACGUGCCGACCGUAGGACCACGUCAGUAAGUUGAGACACGGUGAGAUGGAAUGUUAUUAGUGUUCAGUUGGCGAUAGCUGAGUCCCCAGCCUCCUAGACUGGGACUCAUGUAACUCAUUGCAGAGCCCCCUUGCUCCCACUAUUCCAGGUUCCUGACCUAGAAAUAAAUCUGAGUCCAGCUGUCAGAUUCCAUCAAAAGUCCCCGCCCCACGGGACCCCAACCUCUGUAGGAAACACAAGCCCAUCAAGUUUCCAUGGAUGGAUAUGUACCCAAGUCAUCUUCAAUGCCAUGGGAAUCCAGACUCUCAAAAAAAAAAGUGGUCCCAGCCCCUUAGAGCUCACCUUCCUGGCAUUGAACUUGAGAACUUCACGGAGCAGCAGAGAAGACACUGAAGUUCACAAACCCUUCACUCUCCUUGAGCUCCCAUAGGCCAGCUCAUUCAACAAGGUCACCAGACAAACCUGUCCUUUUCUGCAUUCUUUGCUGGCGGUCCCUCCCUGUUUGAGGCAGGUCCCUCCUUAUCUGAGCUCACUGCAUCACUCGAGUUCAGCAACCACGAGGGGUUCACCCCUGGGCCACAUUGGCGGAGAACCUACACUGUGGCAAGUGCCGUGCUGGGAGCUGGGGUUGUAGUGACCGGGUAGUAAACUGCCCUCAUGAGCUCACAUCUCCAUUCCCACACCCCUGAAGUCUCCCCCUGAGCUAACUCAGAGGAGAAAGACAGCCCUGCUGCCUCGCUGCCCACGGCGGCAUCUGAGGAAGUGGGGGAGGGGAGCAUUGUGAAUGGCCAGCCCACGGAGAGGGCCACCUGAGCACCCUCUUCUAGCAGCCCUGUCCUUUCGGCAGACACACCACACAUGGGUGUCCUCAUCGGAGUGGUCUCUAGUGAGACCCUCACCAGCCUUUCUCUGCUCCCUCCUUGCCCUGCCCACCACGAAAUUGUGCAGGAACCCAACUGUAACCUCAAAAGGGCAGGGUUCAUUCCAGUUGGGCCCAUCAUUGUGUCCAGUGGUGCGCUGGUAAAUGUUUAACAAUCAGCAUGUUGAGGAAAAGGAAAGCCCUGAUUCACAACAUUUGACAAUUUCCAGGGUGUAAAUAUUCCUACCGUGGCCGAUUUCAAGCUGCCAACAUUCACGGCUGGACGUGGAGUUGGAAAGAGAUGGGCCCCAUGAGAGAGUAAUUCCGCCCUACAGACGGCAGACCGGGGGACAGCGAACAGAGGCGGGAGGGCCAGAUUCAGCUCCUGGCCCGCGGAGCCUGAAACACUUACUCUCUGGCCCUUGUACAGAAAAAGCUUGGCGACCCCUGCAACAGACAUAAAUAACCUCCAGAACAGAGAUACUAGUAAAACAUAGAAGAAUAAUUAGGAAGUGAUGCGUUUUAUUACCUUUUAAAAUAUAUAAUUUAUUUCGUGGUAACUGUAAUUUAUUCUUGUUUAAUGGCUCUUUGACAACCAGCUUGCAGGCUUCCUGAAGAAGGAACAGUCGCUCUCAUGAGCCAGUAGAGAUUAGUUAGCUCCAGCAUGCCACUACCUGUUCCCCUGCGCCGGGCCCCGAGCCGGUGCACAGUGGCUAUCUGCUGAAUGGUUGGAAAUCUAACUGCACUGCCAAGGGUCUAAGCACUAGGCAACAUUGCCCUGACCCUUCAGUUUUUCAUUCCGUUCCCUCAAACACCUCUUAGCACCUGCUGAGUGCCAGGGACUUUGUUGAGUGCUACAGAUCCAGUUGACACAACAUCUCCUCUUGGAGCUCAGAGUUGAGUACGGGCAACCAGAUACCCACCCCCCGCAAAAAUCACCACCCUCCCCGCCCCCCCAAAAAAAGUAUGCCAAGAAGAACACAACCUCUUCCCUUUUCCAACUGUGUAUGCCUUCGGUUGGUUUCCUACAAAGUGGGGUCCUAGCAGCACCUUUUUCCAGAGUUGAAGAAGUGAAGUGAGGUAAGCGAUGCCAAGCCCACAGCCUGGCCCAGAGUGAGCCCUUGGAAUAAGCUUCGGCUGUUUCACUUCACCUCCGUCAUUUUAGAACCCAUGUUUCUGCGGCCUCGGAUAUGGACCCUCCAGCCAGUCCACGUCUCUGGCCUUUCCCGUUUGCCCAACAGCUGGAGUGCAGACUCUCCCGAUCAACAUCUCAGCAGGGCUUCCAGCCUUCACGCUGCGGACAUUGGGCCAGAUCGUUCUUGGUGGCAGGCGGCGGCCCUGAGCAUUGGAGCCAUUCAGCAGCAGCCCGGCCUCUGCCCACAGAUACGAGCGUCAUUCCCAAUUUGUGACAACCAAACGGUCCCAGACUUGGCCACGAGUCACCUGGGAGCCCAAGCCGCUGCUGGUUAGAAACCGGGAUUUGAAGGAGGAUGUUUCCCCCACCCUCCGUGGGUACAGGCAGCUCCCCAGCCACCCCGUGGGCUGCAGUCUGGGGAGAUUAUAUUGCUCACACUCGUGCAACAGCACAUUCCUCCUCAGGCACCACUUCUGGGGGUGCGGCACACCAACGCCGGCUUUAUCAGACUGUCCACGAGCACAGGAUGGAAUAAGGUGCGGCCUCUUUUAAGUCCUGUUUUUGGAGCCUAUUUAACAACACAAGGCCACACUUGUUAUAAAAUGCCAAGCACCAAAAGCAGGCAACAACAUUGUUUGUUCUCAAGUGGUCCCUUUUCAUAGCUACACGUGGGGCUGUUGCGUUUGGGGAACUCUGGAAGCUCCGUCUGAAAACUCGUUGUCUGGAAAUUACAUCAGCUAGGAGAUCACUCCCGAACCUCAUGUUCACCAGACAUGAGACACCACCAUAAUGGCACACACACGCUGUACUGAUGGCAUCUAAUGUGCUGAUCACCUCAUAAAAUGUGCUACUCUUCCGAUAUAAGGAGAGGAGUUGUGUUUUUACCCUAAAGUUGAUGAACAUCUUCCUCUUCUGAGCUGAGGUGAAGUCAGCGCAUUUCCUAGGCUCAUUUCCUAGGGUGAAUUUUGGGACACCCUUUAUUACAAAGGAUUGGUAGUUUAUCUGGAACUAAUAUUUCUUACACACAGUUGAUUAAGUUACAUACAUGCACCAAAACCUGAAUAGCGGUUAGAUCUGGGUAACCAAGGUCAAGGUAACCAAGGCAAGAUCGAGGGUUUGUCUAAGAUCCCACAGCAGAAGAGUGGAAUUACAGGUCAUUCCCCCCACCCACCCCCCACUUUUAAGCCAAUGUUAUUGAAGUAUAAUUUACAUGAAGUCAAGUGUGCCCAUUUUCAAAGAACAGGCUGACAAGUGUUGAUGAACGUAUAGCCCCAUGUAACUGCCAGUGUAAUCAAGAUAUUGGUAUAGAACAUUCCCAAGCCCAGUAGUUUCUUCCGGACCCAGCACCCCCUGAUCUGCUGCUGUCACUAUAGAUGGUUCUUACUCCUCCUUGAACUUCAUACAAAUAGAAUCAAAUGUUGGGUACUUUUGGCCUGGCCCAAUGGCUCAGUUAGUUGGAGUAACAUCCCAUACACCAAAAAGGUUGCAGGUUCAAUUCCCCGUCAGGGCCUAUACCUAGG
Myotis myotis is the source of this 5016-nucleotide long non-coding RNA. RefSeq lists it as uncharacterized. The record is from RefSeq and is a predicted model, not a curated record. The transcript is spliced from 3 exons. Lineage: Eukaryota; Metazoa; Chordata; Mammalia; Chiroptera; Vespertilionidae.